AACAACGUCAACGACAUGUCGUGCAA
This 26-nucleotide small RNA is filed under the name Bombyx mori (domestic silkworm). RNAcentral's name for it is "ovarian small RNA-10197". The record is from RNAcentral. Lineage: Eukaryota; Metazoa; Arthropoda; Insecta; Lepidoptera; Bombycidae.